AAUAUUGCACAAUGGAGGGAACUCUGAUGCAGCAACGCAGCGUGAGCGAUGAAGGUCUUCGGAUCGUAAAGCUCUGUCCUUGGGGAAGAAGGUCUUCGGACUUGACGGUACCUAAGGAGGAAGCCCCGGCUAACUCCGUGCCAGCAGCCGCGGUAAUCCGGAGGUGGCAAGCGUUGUUCGGAUUUAUUGGGCGUAAAGCGCGCGCAGGCGGUCUUUUAAGUCUGAUGUGAAAUCUUACAGCUUAACUGUAAGCGGUCAUUGGAAACUGGGGGGCUUGAGUGCAGAAGAGGAGAGUGGAAUUCCAUGUGUAGCGGUGAAAUGCGUAGAGAUAUGGAGGAACACCAGUGGCGAAGGCGACUCUCUGGUCUGUAACUGACGCUGAGGCGCGAAAGCGUGGGGAUCAAACA
RNAcentral lists this ribosomal RNA (407 nucleotides) under uncultured bacterium. Its description in RNAcentral is "partial 16S ribosomal RNA". It matches the Rfam family "Bacterial small subunit ribosomal RNA", at positions 360 to 774 of the family's 1533-position model. The record is from RNAcentral.